AAUCCGGGCGACCAGAGGAAAGGCCGGCAGAGGGCGGUAUGGAGAGAUGAUGGGAUUAGAAGCGGGACCUUUAGGCUGGCGCCAGAUAGAGGCGGAGCUGGCCCGAGCAGGCCGCACUGCUAGUUCCAGAGCAGGAUUGGGACUACGAUUCCCAGGAUGCAGGGGGCGGGAGGCGGUCUAGAGGGCGGUCCAGGGACAGCUCGGGGGGCCGCCUAGGGGGUGGUCCAGGGGGCGGUCCGGGGACAGUCUCGCAGGCGGUCUAGAGAGGGCGGUCCCGGGGGGCGAUCUAGGGGGCGGUCUUGGGGGGGGCAGUUCAGGGAGUGGUCUUAGGAUGGUGGUCCGGGGACAGUCUUGGGGCUCAAUCCGGAGGGGCGGGCCGGAGGGUUUGUCCAGGGGCGCGGUCCGGGACCGGGGCGGGUACAAAUUCCUGGGACUGCCUGUGGUGUGGGGUUCCAAUCAAGUGCGUGUUACAAUUUCAGUGUAAAUCCGUUGUGAAGAUGUUUAGACAAUCACCCUUCUUAGGGCCAAAUAGUUUCACUGGAGUCAUAGUCGGCUUUCAGGGUUCCUAGUUGUGGCCCGAGAAAGAUAACAUCCCAAAGAUACACAUAGAGCUAAUUGUAGAAGAUUCGUUUUGUUUUGGGAGUCAGUGGCUCUGGCAAUGAAGCCACCCCGAGUGGGCGCGGGUGUGCACCGACCCUAGUGAGCUAGCUGACUCGGAGAUCCGGGAUUCUGCAGUUACAGAACCUAGUCUAGUUCAAUUAAUCUAGUACAGUGCUGAAACUAAGCCACGCUCUGCAGUUACACUGCCUGGGUUCCAAUCCUGACUGUGCCACUGUUGGUCCUUCAGCAAUUUUACUUGUUGAGGCCGUUUUAAGGCCUGCGAGAUAAUGAUAAUAAUACUUCCUAGGGUGGUUAUAAGAUAAAUGAGUUAAUAUCGUCCAAGGGAGGGUUAGACGAGGGCCUGGAGCGUAUGAGUACUCAGUACAAAUUAGCCAAAUACCGAUUAUUAUUUCAUUUUCAUAGGCUCUGGGAGGUAAGUGCUACAUGGUGUUAAGUAUGAGUCAAACGGCCUACAAUCAGGUAUCAGGUCACCAUUACUUGGAGAGGAUGUUUGAUCUAAGCCUUAUUUAUAAAUUGACAAACAUAAAACAUUAGUUACUGCUACAUGGUAAGAACUCAGUAUGUGUUAGCUAUUAGUAUUAACUAUGUUAUUAAUUAUUGUAUUAACUAUAUUAUUUUCACAGAUGAAACAAGGAGGGCUCAGAGAGGUGAAAUGACUUAUCUAAAGUUAUGCAGUUAGGGAAUAUAAGAACAAGAGAUAUCUUAACUCUGGUUUUAAGUCUGUAGAUCUAUUCUCUGCAAUGUCGUCCAAGCUCUUGAUACUCAUUAAAGUGUGGUCUGCAUACCAGCAGCAUAAUAUCCCCUGGGAGCUUGUUGGAAAUGCAGAACGUCAGGCCUCACUCUAGAUGUAAUUUAUCAGAACCUUUAUUUUAAUAAGAUCUGUAGGUGACUAGGAUGUACAUUUGAGUAUCAGAGGCACUGUUGAUUGCGUGGUUUACAGGGUUUAUCUUCCUUUCACUGGGGGCCAGGUUUAUCCUAGAGGGGGUUAUGCUGGAGAAUUAACCAAUGAAAUUAACUUAAUAGCAAUUAGCAAAUAGACUCAGUUUAGUUUCAGCAUUGUGCUAGCCUUUCUCAUCCAGAAGCAUUUUAGAAUUUGCUGUUUUUUUUUUCCCCUUGAACCUACUUUAACAUUCAGCAUCAAGGCUUUAACAUCAGUCAUCCCAUGUAGCCAAGGCUAGGUCAAAGACCAUAUUAGCUAACUGCCUUGAGCCUUAAACCUUUGGGAUUUGCCAUAGGAGAGAGUUGAGUGUAUUGAUAUGACUGCUAUGGGCUUGGCUUGGUUUCUCAUUCAUUCAUUCACUUGACAAACAUUUAAUUGAAUGGCUACCAUGUGGCAGACACUAGGUGCAAAGAUAACUGAGACCUUAUGGAAUACUGGGGAAGAAAGGUAAAAAGAAAUUGACUAUAUAAUGUAACGUCAUUGGACCUUUAAUAGGAAGUACCAGUUAUGUAGGAGUUAGCUUCUCUGUCAAUCUUCUGAAUUGGGAAAAAAAGAGCAUAGGUUGACAAGUGUUAAAUGGUAUGAUCUGGAUCAUACAGGUCAGCUCUUAAUUGAACUCUGUUUUAUGUUCAGUGUUUUUUUUUUUUUUUUUUUUUUAGACAGGGUCUCACUUUGUCACCCAGGCCGGAGUGCAGUGGCACGAUCUUGGCUCACUGCAGCCUCAACCUCCUGGGUUCAAGUGGACCUCCUGCCUCAGCCCCCUAAGUAGCUGGGACUACAGGCACGUGCCACUACACCUGGCUCUUUGUGUGCAUGUGUGUGUGUGUAUUUUUUGUAGAGCCAGGUUUUGCCAUGUAACCCAGGCUGGUCUCAAACUCCUGAGCUCAAGUGAUCCACCUACCUUGGCCUUUCAAAGUGGUAGGAUUACAGGCGUGAACGACCUUGCCCAGCCAUAUUCAGUGGUUUUUUAUAGUCUAAACUGAUUUUAAUUUCCUUGAAGACUAGAGACUGAUUUUUACUUCCACAUAGUGCUGGGCACAUAUUAGGCAUUCAACAAAAUGAUUGUUUAAAAGCAUAAACACUAUAGGGUUAUCUAAUUAAAGGUUAUUACUAUUGAUUGUGUUAGAUUCAAGGUGAGCAAAAACAGUAAGAUUGGGAUUUCGGGCUUAAAAAAAAUCUUACUGAGGUAAGUGGGUAAGUUGUGGUCUCCAGGUUGCAUUUGUAUCAUUCUUAUUUUAGGCAAGACUAUACAGUGCCCAGAGAAAGCAGGCUCUGGCCAGGCGUGGUGGCUCACACCUGUAAUCUCAGAACACUGGGAGGCCAAGGCGGGAAGAUCCCUUGAGACCAGGAGUUUGAGACCAGCGUGAAUAAGAUGGGUGAAAAUGCUGUGAUACCUUUCCUCAGCCCUCAAAAGGGUCAUGGCUGCCGGGAGUGGUGGCUCAUGCCUAUAAUCCCAGCACUUUGGGAGGCCGAGGUGGGCAGAUCACCUGAGGUCAGG
RNAcentral lists this long non-coding RNA (3059 nucleotides) under Homo sapiens (human). Its description in RNAcentral is "HSALNT0347503". The record is from RNAcentral. Lineage: Eukaryota; Metazoa; Chordata; Mammalia; Primates; Hominidae.